UUGAGUGUUGGUGUAGUACUAACCUGCUAUAUGAAAAGUGGAUGUACUGAUACAUAACCAAAGAAAGGUGGAGGUUUAUUCUUUUGAUAUCAAGGGUGCAAUCUCUAAAUGACAAGUGCACUCCCAUCUUCAAUGUGGGAGACGGGACAUCCCUUUUGGCCAAACAUCUGAAACUUGCUUGGCCUUCAAUCACAGCUAAAGAUCAAGCCAACAUC
Molecule: long non-coding RNA, 215 nt
Filed under: Phoenix dactylifera (date palm)
Lineage: Eukaryota; Viridiplantae; Streptophyta; Magnoliopsida; Arecales; Arecaceae
Description: long non-coding RNA (PDAC_LNC004082)
Source: RNAcentral